This 78-nucleotide transfer RNA is filed under the name Agrobacterium radiobacter. Its description in RNAcentral is "tRNA-Ile". It matches the Rfam family "tRNA". Rfam says of the family: Transfer RNA (tRNA) molecules are approximately 80 nucleotides in length. Their secondary structure includes four short double-helical elements and three loops (D, anti-codon, and T loops). Further hydrogen bonds mediate the characteristic L-shaped molecular structure. tRNAs have two regions of fundamental functional importance: the anti-codon, which is responsible for specific mRNA codon recognition, and the 3' end, to which the tRNAs corresponding amino acid is attached (by aminoacyl-tRNA synthetases). tRNAs cope with the degeneracy of the genetic code in two manners: having more than one tRNA (with a specific anti-codon) for a particular amino acid; and 'wobble' base-pairing, i.e. permitting non-standard base-pairing at the 3rd anti-codon position. The record is from RNAcentral. Lineage: Bacteria; Pseudomonadati; Pseudomonadota; Alphaproteobacteria; Hyphomicrobiales; Rhizobiaceae.
GCUCCCGUAGCUCAGCUGGAUAGAGCGCUGGGCCGCGAUACGGUUCACAGGUCACAGGUUCAAAUCCUGUCGGGGGCC